AUGUUUAUAUAUAGAGAGAGAGAGAGAGAGAAGGUCCGUCUAUGAUACUUGUAAAAAAACAAAGCAUUUAUUACUUGUAAGUUUUCUGCCGUUAGAUCUGAUCUUUUGAUUAUUUUCAGCCGUUAGAUCAUCCUAUUCAACCAACCACCCACUAUUAUCCUAACCGCACAUCUCUUAAUUUAAAAAUUAAAAACCUAUAAGUGACAUAAGAACAAAACUUUAUUAC
This 226-nucleotide long non-coding RNA is filed under the name Ananas comosus (pineapple). RNAcentral describes it as "long non-coding RNA (ACOM_LNC019126)". Lineage: Eukaryota; Viridiplantae; Streptophyta; Magnoliopsida; Poales; Bromeliaceae. The record is from RNAcentral.